RNAcentral lists this transfer RNA (86 nucleotides) under Planctomycetota bacterium. Its description in RNAcentral is "Planctomycetes bacterium tRNA-Leu". It matches the Rfam family "tRNA". From Rfam's summary of the family: Transfer RNA (tRNA) molecules are approximately 80 nucleotides in length. Lineage: Bacteria; Pseudomonadati; Planctomycetota. The record is from RNAcentral.
GGGCGAGUGGCGGAACUGGCAGACGCUGGGGACUUAAAAUCCCCUGCCCCGUAAGGGGCGUGCGGGUUCGAGUCCCGCCUCGCCCA